GUAUUAAACUCACAAAGCAGCAUAUAAGGUAUAUGUUUACUAGAAGGGUCUCUAAAAUGCUCUUCUGCCAGGAGCCUUCCUGAAAUUUAAGUCCUUAGUCAAAGGAGUGAGUGCAUAAAUACUUCAAUCUGGUUAUUUUUCAGUAGGAGGCUUACACAUGCAUCUGUUAGCGACAAUUGAUAAGAUGCUGCUUUAGAUAAAGUUAGGAGAGAGUGUGCCUAUCUCAAAAAACUGAACUGUAUCCAUCCAAGGAGGCUUAUUUAAGAAUCAAUUGAGAUACUUUUAUCACAGUCACAGCUGAAGUUAGAAGCAACUUAGCAAGGAUAGAUGUUGUCACAAAUGACAUGACCUUGGUAGGCUAUGAAGGGGAUUCUUCAUGGGGUGGGGGGAGGCUUCUUGAUUAUUGGUAAUUUUCAAGGUGCUAGCCAUCUGAAGGUUUUAGUUAGUUUCACUUCACAUUCCUGCAUAUUAACUUGUCAAAAGAAAAUUGCUAUUGGAUUUUGCUCACUGCCUUGUGGAUGGAUUUGUGAUGCUCUCCAUGAUGAGAACUUAGAACAUCUUGAUAUAGAGUUGGUCAGUCAGAAAUUUACUAUCAUAGUCGUAGAACAUUGAUGUCAUAGUC
RNAcentral lists this long non-coding RNA (622 nucleotides) under Phoenix dactylifera (date palm). RNAcentral describes it as "long non-coding RNA (PDAC_LNC013477)". The record is from RNAcentral. Lineage: Eukaryota; Viridiplantae; Streptophyta; Magnoliopsida; Arecales; Arecaceae.